CUGAUAUUCACCAGGAGGACUGGAGAGGGCCCAGGCUGCAUUGGAAGACCCUGGCCCUUUUAGGCCUUUGAGUAACCACUCAUAGUAAGCACGAGGAAGAAUACCAUCCUUGAGGACAGAGACAGAUCUGUUUUGGUCUUCUUAUCUCCAGUGCCUACUAUGGGGAUUUGCACUUAAUAGGUGCUUCAUCAUCGCUGGAGAAUUGUGAAGAAGUCUGGAGAGUCAGAAGUGGAGCCUUUAGAGGAAUGAGGGAGUUUUCUAUUCUCUGAGUCCCCUUUAAAAAGAAAUAAAAAACAUAGAAAAUAUAAAUUGGCACAAUGAGAAGGGGACCGGAAUGAAUGUGUAAUGUUUUCCUUCCCUUGGAUCCAGAAUGCCAACAUUGUCUAGAGUAUGGAUCAGAUUUCCUCUACCAGCAUUUCAAAAACAUUAGUGAAUUUUCAUCUCGGGUAUCUGAGUUUGUUGUAGUGCUAAUGCAGUCCAAGUCAGGGGUUUGAACUUAGUUUUCUUUGUUCUUUCCUAGGGCCACAGAGUGAGCUAAAAAUCCUUAACAAGAUCAGGAAGCUAUAUACAGUCCAAGAAACAGGGACCUUGGUUAUCCCCUUCAGCGGUAGAACGGAUGUGGAGGUGAGAUUUCUAGAUAAGAGAAAUGACAGCUUUCUAGGAUGAGGAGUUCUAGAAGAAGGAAACAGAAUACGUUUAACCUGGAGUAGUUCAGGGCUGAUCUCAGUGAGGGCACCCAACAGUGAGAGCCGUGUAGGGACAGGUUUCUGAAUGGAGAUUCCCGGUGAGAAAAGUCUUACUUAAUUUUUGCAUUAAGGGUCUAAGGGGGGUGCACACAGUGAAAUAUACAAAUAAUAUCCAAUAAUAAUAAUAAUAGCGAGCAUUUAUAUGGUGCUUUAAGCUUCAAGAAGCACUUUCCUUACGUUAUGAUCAUACUAAACUUACUUGGGUAGUAAAAGAAAAAUUCAGAGGAAAUAAACUGCAGAAAGAGGCCAUUGGCAAAAAAAAAAAGUUGGGAAAUGUAUUUCAGUGUGGGCAUGUAUAAGGGAGCAAAUUUAGGAGAAAUACAGCCCAAACUACACUUCCACGUGUGUAUCCUACGUAAUCUGUAUACCUUUGCUGCUCCUUCCUCAGUGAAUUUAUUAUCCCAGGCUAGAAACUUGGAGUCACCUUUUACCUUGCCUUUCCCAGUUCUACCUACCUCCCUACCUACCCACCCAGGGGCUAUUCCAAACUUUCUGUUUAAGUCUCCAUCCUGAGCUGCACCCUCCUUCCCAACAGAUGACAUAACUCUCUGCUUUCUAAGAAAGGUGAUGGAAGACAUCCAGUAUGAGUUCCCUCAGUUUCACUUCUUCAGGCCAGUAUUUAUCCAUUCUUCCCUCCCUUUUUUUUUUCUUAUUUCAGAAUUCAGCUUGCCUUUGGGUGUGGAAACUUGGAUGGGGAGGGCCCUUGCUCCUGGAUGGAGCUAAUUAAGAACAAUUAAGCAAAGUAGAUAGAUUAGUAUUGAACUGUAUAAGCCUAGCAGUGAGUUCAGAAUUCAGAUACCACUAGGAAAAAAAUCAUAAGCUGGUAAAAACAGCAGGCUGCUAAGGCCACAAAAGCAAGCAUUUUCCUUUACUUCCUGUUUUUCCAAAGACUAAUCCUUGGGCCCCUGGGUUUGAAAAGAAAGCCAGUACCCCCCAAGAAGGGAGGGAAAAUGGAAAGGAAAAACCAACUGUUAGCUGUUAAGGAAACUCCAUCUACAUGAAGGCAGGAGGAAUGAGUUGUACAAGCAUCCUUCCCACUGCACCUUCCUCUGUUACCGUCAAGGGACAAUGCCUCGGAGUACUUAGUAAGUAUUUAAUAAAUAUUCAUUGAUUGAAAUACUUGCCAUUUGACCGUACCACCCAGUACUAAUCUGACCUGCUGGAAGCUCUCAAAUUUUUAUGAUUUUGGUAUUCAGUUCAUACUAUUUCUAAUUCUUUUACUGUCUUCAGAAUUUUUAAUACUCAUACCAAUGGUCCUGUCAGUAACAAGUUACAUUUAUAUAGCAUGUGAGGUUUAAUAAGCACUCUUGUCACAACAACCCUAUGAAGUAAGUAGUGCAGGUAUCAAUACACCCAUUUUACAGGUGAGGAAACAGGCUCAGAGAGGUGAAGUGGCUUUGGAGGGAUACGCACAUGCACACGUGCGCUCAUGGAUGAAUACAUUCCAAAGAGGGAUCCACUCUGUUCAACUUGGAGCUUUCUGACUCCUCAGUGCUUUUUUCCAUUAUAUCACACUACCUCUUGUCUCCACAAUUCCUUAAACUCUAGCCCUAAGAUUUCCAUCUUUUUUCGUUCAGUCACCCAGCGGAGUGGUCAUACUUCAGAGCUCUUCAUCCCUUAAGACUCUUUCACUUCCAAUAAGCUGAAUUCCAAAAUCACCUUUCUGACCUCCUAGCCUACCCAUUCCCUUACUCCAGUGGCAUGUUUUUAGUCCUCAUCCUCUGUGGUCUCUCUACAGUAGAUGACACUGUUCAUCACUUCUUUCUCUCUUGGCUUUCGUGACAUAGGAGAUAAUAUGCUCGAGUGAGUGGAAAGAACUCUGAACAGAAAGACUUCAUUUUUAGCUCCUGCUAAGCCACUAACUACUUGUUUGGCCUUGGGCAAAUCCCUUACCAUCUUUAGGUCUCUACAAAAUGAGGAGAUUAGAUUCCCUGCCAUCUCCACAUCAUGCCUUAUGCUCUCAGCCCAGGAUUCUCCUCUCCCACUAGAGCCUACAGCUCUGAUUUGUGGUUUUCACCUUCUCUCGCCGGGGUCUAGGACUUCAUUCCACUCAGCAUCUGUCUUUUCACUGGUCAGGGCCCAUCUCACCCCUAAUCCCCACCCCCCUUUUUAUCUUCCUCCAUUAGGAUGUAGGCUCCUUGAGGGCAGGGAUUGUCAUGUUUGCUUCUAUUUGUAUCUUCAGUGCUCAGCACCAUGCCUGGCACAUAGUAAGCACUUAAUCAACCUUUUAAAUCUGUUUUUAUUAGAUGAUCAUUCUAGCCAAACCACACUGCCUGCAUUGCAAUGAACUUGCCCUGAUGUUCCCUAACUCUUCACCUUUUCUUAUACUAUCCUUUAUGUCCAGAAGGGACUCUUAGAUCUUUACCUUUUAUAAUCCUUCCCAUCUCCCAAGGUCCAACUCAAUUGCCAACUUCUUUAUGAUGCUCCUAUGAAUUUCCCCAGCUAAAGGUAAUUUCUCUGGUCUGGAAUUUCCAGUAUUUUGUAUAGACCUCUUUUCACAUAUUUUCUCAUUUGUAUUAUAGUUAUUUGUGUUAAUUUAUGGCAUCCAGUCUGAUAUCAAUUUUUGUCAUUUGUACCUUCUGAGAUAACCUCUCAUGCAUUCUGCCCCUUACAUUCCCAGUCCCUUCUGGCUAGUGGAGCAGUGUAUAUACUGCUGGAAUGCAGGUCAGACCUGAGUUCCAAUCCUCCUCAUACACUUACUAGCUGUGUGGCUCUGUGCACACUUAGCAUAAGUUUCUUCAUCUGCAAAGUAAAGAUUAUAAUAGCACUUGCUUUAAAGGGUUAAUGUGAAGAUUAAAUGAGAUAAUAUUUGUAAAACCUUUUGUCCACUUAAAGUGUGAUAUAAAUGCUAGCUGUUCCAUGUCAGUAACCUAACUGGUUCUGUCUCUUCCUCACUGCAGUCCUCCUUGUGUGCCAACACAAGAUUAAAACCCUUCUUUCAUUAUGUAAUGCCCCUGCUCAAAAGCUCUUAUUAGCUCACUGCCCCUCCCCCUUGGCCCCCGUAAAGUCCAAGCGUGCUCCUUUGUAUCUAGCCCAAGUCUGCUCUCCCUGAUACUCCUCUGACUAAUCUCAAACUGGCCUUGUUACGGAACACUACAUGGCUUUUAUGCUCUCCCCCUUCCUACCUUUGCAGCCAUCCUUCAAGGCCCAGCCAAAGUCUUAGCACCUCCCUGAAGCCUCCUCCAAAUGCUACUGCCUACACUGAUCUCUCCUUCUCAACGGCUAUGUAAUGAGGUGUUGAACUGUUAUUUUCUGGUUAUUCCAAGUGUGCUAGUUAUGGCUCCCCAACAAGAUUAUAAGCUCUGGAGGGCAGGGAUAGUGUGGGAUUUAGGUUUCUUUGCAGAAUUAACCCUGCCAAGAAGGAAAGGGAAAAGAAACCUUAUUGGUACAAUGUAACAGUUAUAUGGCUCUUCCCAUCAGGUAUCACAUUCUCCCAGGAACAAAAAGAAUUUACAGGCAGCUUUAAGGGGAAUCCUGUUGUUUGUACCAAGAGGAGGAGACACAUAGUGGUAGUUGGUGCAAAGAUAAACCCUGCGUAGGGGGUAUUGAGCUAACAAGGCUUAAUGGGAGGUGUGCCACCUUCACCUUCCUGGAGCAUGUAGUGCAAUGAGAGAGCUAGAAAAGACUUAUAAAAUCUGCUAAACAUUAUCCCUUUUUGCCGAUUCACCUGGGAAAGAAAAAUAGAGCCAGAAUGAGAAGGAAUAUUUCUCAGUUGGUAUUGAAGUCCUGGGUAGGAAACAAAACACUUGAAGGCACAGGUGGCAUUUUCAUUCCUUCUUCCGGUUGAAGUUAAUGAGUUUGGGAAAAGAAGUGAACAGCCAGAUACCUUGAUCUUAGUAAAGUUAUGUUUGGGCAGAGACCCACUGACCUGAUUCACUGAAGAGGACCGAGAUGACAUCACUAUGUUGGGGUCAAGAUACAGCGUGUCUGACUGUGGCUGAUCAGACCAAUAAAAGGCUCUACUGCAGUUAGGACACAGGUAGUCCUUAUGAACAUUUAGAGUGGAAUAUGCGUGCACGCGUGUGUGUAUAUUCAUAUUCUCUAACAUGCCUUCCAUCUACCAUCCCUUACCGAAAUCUGCUUGUUCUUCCCCCGACUCCAGCCCCGCAACCUCCUAUUACACUGCAUUUCUAGCCAUCUUAUCCAACGCUGGUAGUAACUUCUCUCAUACUUCCUGACAUACCGGUCCUAGAGGGGGAGUCAUGAUAUUCUUCGAACCCCCAAUUCCUUAGCCUUCUUAAAUCCCAUGAUCUGCGCCAUUAUUCCACUUCAGCCACUCGUAACGAUGGUCGCACACCAGAUUGGCAUUCCCAUAUCUGGCCAUAACUUCCUGUUAUCUCACUUCUCCCUAUGCCUCCGCACUCCUAAAUCUAUUCGCUCUCAUAGAAAUCUCCAGCUUCUCCACCUCUCAGUCCUGAGUGCAGGUUAGAACAAGCCUGACAUUCCCCUCCUCAUCUUUUAUGAAAUGCAAAAUGAAACAUUCACCUUUGAAGCUUCUCCUGCACUGAGCACUGAGCACAUAGUAAAUGCUUCCCAACUUGACUUCCCCUCCCUUCCAUUCCAGCACCUACUUCCUGUGCAGUGGUUAGAACAAGAUUUGCAAUAUCAAUUCCUCAUGGAACAAAAAGAAAUCUGUACCCCCAAAUAGUUUAGUACCUACAGAACCCAUCCAUGCUUUAGUAGAUGGUUUCAUGAGUUGAUAAAAAAAUCAUAAACUGGUAUCCAAUCUUUGAGUGAUGAUUCUCAGAGGACAAACUCUCGGGUGUGCAUGUGAACCCUUUCUAAAUCAGUAGUACAUACCUACAAAAGCUUGUGCCCCAAGAUGCAACCUUUAAGAAUCCAGUAUCACCUCUAUUCCAGUAGGAGGCAUCAGGAGAUGACUUCAGGGAUACGUGUGGACUGCUAGUAGAUAAUGUUAUUAAUAAUAAUAGAGUCUCAGAAUUGGAAGAGAUCUCAGAGUUCAUUUAGUCCAACCUAUAACUGAGAGAAAGCCUCUUUUACAUCUCUGACAAGUGAUCAUCCAGUCUCCUCUUGAAAACCUUACGUUUGCUUUCUGUAAGAAAGUGUGGUUUAGUAGAAAGAGUAUGGGGAUUCUAAAGCAGAGGGCCUUAAUUUGGAUUCCUACUAUUCUGCAAUUAUUAGCUGUGUAACUCUGGUUCAGUGAACCUCUCAGAGCUUUGGUUUCUCAUCACAAAGCUGUGUGAAGCUCAAGUGUGAUAAAAGCAAUUUAUAAAUUAUUAAAAGCUAUACAAAUGUGA
Molecule: long non-coding RNA, 6004 nt
Organism: Trichosurus vulpecula (common brushtail)
Lineage: Eukaryota; Metazoa; Chordata; Mammalia; Diprotodontia; Phalangeridae
Exons: 2
Source: RefSeq, a predicted model, not a curated record